This 159-nucleotide ribosomal RNA is filed under the name Symbiodinium sp. MMSG-2000. Its description in RNAcentral is "5.8S ribosomal RNA". It matches the Rfam family "5.8S ribosomal RNA". Rfam says of the family: 5.8S ribosomal RNA (5.8S rRNA) is a component of the large subunit of the eukaryotic ribosome. Lineage: Eukaryota; Dinophyceae; Suessiales; Symbiodiniaceae. The record is from RNAcentral.
ACAACUUUCAGCGACGGAUAUCUCGGCUCAGGCACCUAUGAAGGGCGCGGCGAAGCGCGAUAGUCUUUGUGAAUUGCAGAUCUCCGUGAACCAAUGGCCCCCUGAACGCGCAUUGCACUCUUGGGACUUCCUGAGAGUAUGUUUGCUUCAGUGCUUAUU